This 468-nucleotide ribosomal RNA is filed under the name uncultured bacterium. RNAcentral's name for it is "partial 16S ribosomal RNA". It matches the Rfam family "Bacterial small subunit ribosomal RNA", at positions 28 to 507 of the family's 1533-position model. The record is from RNAcentral.
GACGAACGCUGGCGGCGUGCUUAACACAUGCAAGUCGAACGGAAAGGCCCUGCUUUUGUGGGGUGCUCGAGUGGCGAGCGGGUGAGUAACACGUGAGUAACCUGCCCUUGACUUUGGGAUAACUUCAGGAAACUGGGGCUAAUACCGGAUAGGAGCUCCUGCUGCAUGGUGGGGGUUGGAAAGUGUCGGCGGUUGGGGAUGGACUCGCGGCUUAUCAGCUUGUUGGUGGGGUAGUGGCUUACCAAGGCUUUGACGGGUAGCCGGCCUGAGAGGGUGACCGGCCACAUUGGGACUGAGAUACGGCCCAGACUCCUACGGGAGGCAGCAGGGGGGAAUAUUGCACAAUGGGCGGAAGCCUGAUGCAGCAACGCCGCGUGCGUGAUGACGGGCUUCGGGUUGUAAACCGCUUUCGCAUGUGACGAAGAGUGAGUGACGGUAAUGGGUAAAGAAGCACCGGCUAACUACGUG